GAGAGUAUAGCUCAGUGGUAGAGCACAUGCUUAGCAUGCACAAGGCCCUGGGUUCAAUCCCCAGUAUCUCCA
This 72-nucleotide transfer RNA is filed under the name Camelus bactrianus (Bactrian camel). It matches the Rfam family "tRNA". Rfam says of the family: Transfer RNA (tRNA) molecules are approximately 80 nucleotides in length. Their secondary structure includes four short double-helical elements and three loops (D, anti-codon, and T loops). Lineage: Eukaryota; Metazoa; Chordata; Mammalia; Artiodactyla; Camelidae. The record is from Rfam by way of RNAcentral. RNAcentral also lists the same sequence under 2 other names.